AAUGGUAUGACUAUAGAUAGACUUCCGCAUCUCUUCACGUUAAAAAAAAUUAAAGCGACGAGAUCUCGAAGGAGUAAAAAGUUUGAACACUCAGUGAACUUUGCUUACUCUCAUGUUAUAGCCACCGAGCUUUCUUUUUACCACGAAUGGUCACUCAACUUGCUCAAAACCAAGUCCAUCCAUCACUGUACAUUCACCCGUUUGAUUUGCUUCCCAGGUGGCAAGACAGAGUCCAGCGUGGCAAGAGACGACGUCAUAACGUUGCCACGUGAAGAGUUGUGUCCCAACAAAACAACUAUUUCACCCAAAAAAUUACAAACCCACCUUCAAAUCAAGGAGCCCCAAUCUUCCAAGCUGGAAACAAACCCUAGAAAUCCCUCCCAAAACUCAAGAUUCAAUCCCUUGAUUUCCUCAAACCUCAAAUGAACCCUAGAAAUCGAGUUGGGAACAGCGACGGGUUGCCGUAUUCUUGUCUCUUUCUCGGGGGUGGUAGGAGCGAGAGAGCUUCUCCGUCCCUCCAAUCAGUGAAGUCCGACCACUUUUGAAAGGGUGACGAUUCGCACGUAUUGAUGGAGCAGAUGGAGAGAUCCCGCCAGCAGAUCCAAUUAUACAUUUUCCAGGUCGCUUAGAAGGCGGUGGCACUCUGCAAAUCGAAUUGGGGGAGAGUUCUGAUGGGAAUGGAUUUAGGCAAUGGGUUCAGAAUUUAGGGACAAUGGGGAAUUUUGAUUCUUUCAAUGAAGGAUCGUGUUUUGUAGCUUGAAAUCAUGUCCAUGUUGGCUGAGUUUGACGCCGUCCAAUUGCCACGUUGGCUGCCAUCAAGCCAUGUGGGACGGUUACAAACGGCUGGGACGCCAGGUGUUUGAUGGUGUGGUGCGUUUGGAAGGUCAGCGACCGUUCAGCCGCAAGAGGAAGUUCAGUGACCACAACGUGACAUAGGGGAAGUUAGGUGACUAAUCAAACUUUUUACUCAAUCUCAAAGCUACAGUGAUCCUCGCAGAUCUAAAGGACAAGAAAGUUGGCAUGCUGUAGCUGAUUUGAAUUCUAUGUGAAAGACUAUCUUGACAAAUA
Long non-coding RNA from Olea europaea var. sylvestris, 1068 nucleotides. RefSeq lists it as uncharacterized. NCBI's taxonomy places the organism in Eukaryota, Viridiplantae, Streptophyta, Magnoliopsida, Lamiales, Oleaceae. The transcript is spliced from 2 exons. The record is from RefSeq and is a predicted model, not a curated record.